GAUAUAAUCAAAUAUUUACAAAAAUGUGAGGGGUGUACUCACUUUUGUGAGAUACUGUAUAUGUAGUUCCACUCUAGGAGGAGCUUGACACUACUAGAUUUCCACCAACAUCUGAGGCCUUCUGCAACAUGCCAAAGGCAAUAUGUAAAAAAUUCAACUCAUCCUAUCCUCUUCAAGUUCUUCCUGACCACAUCAACUCAUGCUCUGUUGUUAUUGUGGAUAAUGCGAACCAGGCAACAGUGAACAGGAAACACGGGAGUUACCUGCCUGUUUGAGGGGCAGCCAGACCACUUGGUGCCCUCAUCUUCACAGUCUUUUAACGAAAGUGACCUCUUCCUGGUAGCAGGACGAAUGCUCGGCCAUUCCUUCCUUCAUGGCAGACCAUGUCUUGCAGGGCUCAGCAGAGGUUUUGUCCAUGUGCUGCUGCUUCGUUCACAUGAUAUAGCCACUUUACUGUUGGAUGACUGCCCUGAUAUUGAUGUGUGAGAGACCAUCAACCUGGUAUAUAUAUACAAUAUAGAUACUUGGUCAACUUUUCAGUAAGUAUUCUUUUUACUCUAAGGAUAUUUUGUACUAAUUUUAUAAAAAAAAUAUUAAUUGAGCUUAAUGUACAAUAUCAAUUGGAUGAGGACCAACAUAAGAAAGAUUUGGAGCUUUGUUUGUUUUGGGAUCUCCCGGGUCCAACCGAAGAAAACAGAAGGUGGCUCUACGUACGUCUGCUUUCACAUGCGGUAAUUUCUUGUUUGUGGUAUGUGGUUACAUAUAUUCAAAUACCUGUAUUUCUGGACAAGACCAUGUUUUAUGUUAUGUCUUCUGAGUAUAUUGGAAUAUGCUUAAAGAUCAUUUUAAUGGAAACUCCUUUGAAGUAUCAGGUAAUGAACUAUUGGCACUCUGAUGAAUGUAGUUUUUUGAAUUUCUCUCCAUUUGUGUUUUAGGUCUCUAUGCUCUGUAAAUCUGGCUUGCAUAUUUAAUCCACAUUUUACUUAUAGAAUUUUGAAGUAGUGUCAAAUAAAAGAUGAACUGUCUGCUUAGCGAGUAAGCGCUUCUCAAACUGAAGAUACAUUGAACGAUUUAGAAGAUAUGUUGGAUGAUUUAUAAUGACAGAAAUUAAACUGCCUUCUGUGAUGCUUACUGGCUGUUUUGCUCAUUUUGGUAAAUAUUGUAGGUUCUUGGGAGAAAUACACGCCAAAUGAAACAACUCAGACGAGGACUUUAAGAUACAAUUGUUUGGUCGCUUCUGACUGAGAGGAAGGAUAUGGUGUUUUUUUCCAAUGGAAUCUGAAGACUCUUGAUCCUCUGAGACAACAGUCUACUGGUCAUGAUGUAGAUGCUGCUUUCUCGAAUAUCCUGGCCUGCUGAUGAUGAUGAUGAUGAUGAGGAAUACCCAGCUGAAACAAACAAACGUGUCACUGGGUACUUGAGGCAGUUCAUUGAGAUGGUUAUAUUCCAUCCAUCCAUCCAUCCAUCCAUCCAUCCAUCUUCUACCGCUUAUCCUUCCUCAAGGUCGCGGGGGAACCUGGAGCCUAUCCCAGGGAGCAUUGGGCACAAGGCGGGGUACACCCCGGACAGGGUGCAAGUUGCAAGUCCAUCGCAGGGCACACUCACACACCCAUUCAUACACUACGGACACUUUAGACACGCCAAUCAGCCUACCAUGCAUGUCUUUGGACUGGGGGAGAAAACCGGAGUACCCGGAGGAAACCCCCGCAGCACGGGGAGAACAUGCAAACUCCGCACACACAUGGCCCCAGCGGGAAUCGAACCCCGGGCAGUUAUAUUUUGCCUUUUAAAAUAAAGUGAAUUAUGUGCCUUGUUUAAGACCACAAAUUGUUGCUGUCAUAAAUGGCAGAAUAACUUCAACAAUUUUUUAAAAUAAGAUUUUUUAAAUUCGAUUUCAGCAUCUAGCAAGGACCUGAAUGACCUGCUCAAGUUCUGGGUUGGAUGAGAAGUUGCUAAAGAAAGUCUGGCUGUGGAAGUUGUUAGUGAUGACUUCUCAAGAGCCUCUACCUGCUUCUGUAUCCUCAGAUUACCAGCGCACUACAAAGAUUACCAGUCCUUCAGGAUGGACUUGAUUAUGUGCAUUGGGUCAUGCAAGUAUGGUUUUAGAAAUGUGUAACUUUAACUUUGAUUAUUCAGCAGCUAUGACUGAAUAUUUCUUCACUACCGUUCACUAUUUCAUUGUUGCCUUAAUCAUGCAGCGUAAAUGUUUCAGUGCUACUUUACUAUAUGCAUGAAAGUGCUGUUUGUCCAGAUCUCCCCUGCAGAUGGCGCUGCAGUGCGCGACGUGCAUGGAGAGCCGGAGGGCGUGCACGUGCACGCGCUGUGAGUACGCAUGGACGAUAGUGACUUUGUUCAAUGGACACGUUCACUUGUUUUGUUUUCUGUUCUGUCUCCUCCUUGUGCAGUUACUGGCGGGAGUGCAAGGGUGCGUCUUGAUUGUUUCCAGCUGCCUGAGUUCUAGUUUGAUUACGUUUGUUAUUUAAACCCCUGGUGUUGCUCUGAACUUCGUGCAGUAUUAUUUACGUUCAGGUUUGCAAUGUAUGUGUUAGCUCCCUCGAUGCUAAACGAGUUCGAGUUCUCGUGUCCUGUUCCUGUGUUAUGCUUCAUGCCUCAUUUUAUGUUUAGACCUUGUUCCAUGUUUAGACCACGUACCUUGGUGUUUGUUGAUUUCUGUUUGUGAAUAAAGACUUUCAUCUGCACUUGCUUUCUGCUUCCAAGUCCCGUUUCAUAACACUGUUACUGUUUAAUGUUUACUAUGAUGUGAAAGUCUGUUCUGUUUUAACAUGCAUGGCACAUGCAAUAUUUGCCAAGAUGGCAUGUAGUAAGUUUCUACUGUACCCCACCACACUAUUUUAGAUGCAGUGGCUCCUGAAUGUUUUUGGUGAAAAUGAAACUGU
Molecule: long non-coding RNA, 2897 nt
Organism: Ictalurus punctatus (channel catfish)
Lineage: Eukaryota; Metazoa; Chordata; Actinopteri; Siluriformes; Ictaluridae
Exons: 4
Source: RefSeq, a predicted model, not a curated record